RNAcentral lists this microRNA precursor (98 nucleotides) under Equus asinus (donkey). RNAcentral's name for it is "mir-544 microRNA precursor family". It matches the Rfam family "mir-544 microRNA precursor family". The record is from Rfam by way of RNAcentral. RNAcentral also lists the same sequence under 1 other name. Lineage: Eukaryota; Metazoa; Chordata; Mammalia; Perissodactyla; Equidae.
AUCACCUGAGGAUCUUGUUAAAAGGCAGAUCCUGAUUUAGAAGCUCUGUGGUGGGGCCCAAGAUUUUGCAUUUCUAACAAGCUCCCAGGUGAUGUCAA